This 252-nucleotide ribosomal RNA is filed under the name uncultured prokaryote. RNAcentral describes it as "partial 16S ribosomal RNA". It matches the Rfam family "Bacterial small subunit ribosomal RNA", at positions 525 to 776 of the family's 1533-position model. The record is from RNAcentral.
ACAGAGGGUGCGAGCGUUGUCCGGAAUCACUGGGCUUAAAGGGCGCGUAGGCGGCCCGCGAGGUCGGGGGUGAAAUCCCACCGCUCAACGGUGGAAGGGCCUCCGAUACCGGCGGGCUGGAGGAAGGUAGGGGUGCGCGGAACUUCUGGUGGAGCGGUGAAAUGCGUUGAUAUCAGAAGGAACGCCGGCGGCGAAAGCGGCGCACUGGACCUUUUCUGACGCUGAGGCGCGAAAGCCAGGGGAGCAAACGGG